CUAGUACUCCCUCCGUCCGAAAAUACUUGUCCUACAAAUGAUUGUAUCUAGACUUAUUUUAGUUAUAAAUACAUUCGUCUUAUUCAUUUCUAAGACAAGUAUUUUCGGACGAAGAGAGUACUAG
Molecule: non-coding RNA, 124 nt
Organism: Triticum aestivum (bread wheat)
Lineage: Eukaryota; Viridiplantae; Streptophyta; Magnoliopsida; Poales; Poaceae
Source: Rfam